GACGAACGCUGGCGGCGUGCCUAACACAUGCAAGUCGAACGAGGUCCAUGCAGUGGCAACACUGCGGAAGACCUAGUGGCGAACGGGUGAGUAACACGUGAGGAACCUGCCCCGAAGACCGGGAUAACUCUCCGAAAGGAGCGCUAAUACCGGAUGCCCCCACCGAACCGCAUGGUUUGGUGAGGAAAUGGAUUCCGCUUCGGGAGGGCCUCGCGGCCUAUCAGCUAGUUGGUGGGGUAACGGCCCACCAAGGCAUCGACGGGUAGCUGGUCUGAGAGGACGAUCAGCCACACUGGGACUGAGACACGGCCCAGACUCCUACGGGAGGCAGCAGUGGGGAAUCUUGCGCAAUGGGCGAAAGCCUGACGCAGCAACGCCGCGUGGGGGAUGAAGGCUUUCGGGUUGUAAACCCUUUCAGCAGGGACGAAUCAAGACGGUACCUGCAGAAGAAGCCCCGGCUAACUACGUGCCAGCAGCCGCGGUAAUGUAGACGU
RNAcentral lists this ribosomal RNA (494 nucleotides) under uncultured bacterium. Its description in RNAcentral is "bacterial SSU rRNA". It matches the Rfam family "Bacterial small subunit ribosomal RNA", at positions 28 to 532 of the family's 1533-position model. The record is from RNAcentral.